Choloepus didactylus (southern two-toed sloth) is the source of this 1930-nucleotide long non-coding RNA. RefSeq lists it as uncharacterized. Lineage: Eukaryota; Metazoa; Chordata; Mammalia; Pilosa; Megalonychidae. The record is from RefSeq and is a predicted model, not a curated record. The transcript has 2 exons.
UUAUUCUUUGUAUGAUGACAUAGUGAGCAAUAAAAAUAAAUUUCCUCAACUAUUUCACAUUCUUUCUGUUAUUCUAAUAACAAAACAAUGCUUUGCAAAAUAGAAAAUUAGAUUAGAGUGACUAUUAAAACACUGAAUUUCUUCAACCUACUGGUGUAAUCAACUACAGUUCAAUAAAUAUUUUGUAAAUUAACAGUAAUUUUUUAUAUCACUACAGUAAAAUUAUUAAAAUCUUAAUUCAAAAAUAAAAUUCAUUUUGUAAAAUGUCAUUUCCAAUGAUCUAAAUAGGAUGCACUUAAAUGCUAUUCCAAACCUCAUCAACUUUACAUUUUGUAGCAAAACAUUAAAAAAAAUUUACAAAAACAAAAAGGGGGAGAUGAGAGUAUGGAUAAAAUCACUCCUGCGGUCCGUCUCUCCCGUGUGUUUUGUUUACCUUGAAUUAUUUAAAUUUUUAUGAGAAACUUGAUGGCCCUCCUGCAGAAAAACAUUUCUUCAGCCCUCCUACUAUGUCCAAAUAUAUUUUUACUAAAAGUCCUCCUGUGUGGUGGAAGGACCCUGUGACAGGGCAGUGGACAAUAGGAAAAUUGUUAACAUGGGGGCGAGGGUUUGCUUGUGUCUCUCCAGGUGAAGAUCAAACUCCUAUUUGGGUGCCCACUCAACACUUAAAACCGUACCAUGAGCGGGAAAAAGAGAAAGUUCAUGUGGGACAUAAAACCUCUGGUGAUGCAAAUGGAGGGCCUCUUGCUGAAAAUGAUUCGCAUCGGACCAAUGCCAGCCACCACUGAGGCUUCUCCUCCUACAUAGGGACAAAAUUAAAAAUUUGUGCCAACAGGCUGAAUGGCUGGUACAACAGGAGCAUCAGCGGUUCACCGCCUCUAAUCUGGUGAUAGCUUUAUUUGCUAUUAUAACCACUACUGUAAGUAUGCCUCCUUUAGUAAAUGCCCAUGCUCAUAAUUAUGCAUAUUGGGCAUAUAUCCCCAAUCUUCCUCUAUUACGGCCUGUGAAAUGGAAAUGGAAUGAUCCAGCCCCUCUUAUUUAUCUCAAUGAUACAGCAUGGCUUCCUGGCCCGGAGGAUGACAGGCUACCAGAACAUCCUAAAGAGGAAGUCACUCAGUAUAAUUCUACUUUGGCCUUCUUACAUUUACCGCUAUGUUUGGGACAUGGGAAAAAAUGUUUGUCUUUUGAACAACAAGCAUGGCUUUCAAUGAUUCCAAAGCAUGGAAAUGUCUCUCAUUCUAUGUUAUAUUUGUUGACAGGUCAGAGUUUUGCAUACCAACAUAAUAGUAGUAUAAACGAUGGAACUCCACAGCAUCCUGUCUGCCAAGCGCCAAAGUAUUGCUCUCCAGACUUAAUGAGUAUACAUUGGGAAACUUGUCGAGGGACUAAUGGUGUGAUACUGCUUAAUGGUUCCUAUGGAAUUGUAACUGACUGGUCCCCUAAGGGGUUCGCAGUGCAGAACUGCAGUGGCUGAAACGAGUCCUGCUCGGCACAUGAACAUCCUCCGAUGCACAAGACAAGCAGUCUCUGAUUUAACUGAGAAACCUGCAAUCCCAGCCAUCAUGUCUGCAAUAAGAAAACAAAAAGGGGGACAUGUGGGAAACAGGGCCUGAUGUUUCUCCUCUCCUUCCUGCAUGCUUGAGGUGGGGGCCUAGAACACUGGGCUGCUGCCAAGACAGAACACUGUCAAGGCACACCUCGUUAAAGUAUGCCCGGAUGUGAGACUGUGGCUGAAGGACCGUUUUCUGUUAUUGUCCUUGAGAUUAAGAUAAGAGCCAUUUGCAGACUGAUGUAAACAACCAUGGGAAAAUGUCUACGUGCACAGUAAAGCAUUACUCUACCCUAAAAGCAUAAUAAAUAAGGGUCUUGGAAAUGGGACUCACACACUCACCCAACAGGCGGCGUGUCCCCUGCUCCCAGUCUCUCAAAGAUA